GAGUGGAGGGUGCACCUAAUUUUCGAGAAAUUCCUGAUUUUCCUGUUUACGGUGUUGCAAACCCUAGUAUUGAUGGUAUUCGAGCUGUUAUCCACAGGGUUAGUAGUACGAAGGGUGGACGCCCCGUUUUAUGGCACAAUAUGAGAGAAGAACCAGUUAUCUAUAUAAAUGGCAAGCCUUUUGUGUUGCGUGAAGUAGAAAGGCCAUACAAAAACAUGCGCGAG
RNAcentral lists this unclassified non-coding RNA (224 nucleotides) under Hevea brasiliensis (rubber tree). Lineage: Eukaryota; Viridiplantae; Streptophyta; Magnoliopsida; Malpighiales; Euphorbiaceae. The record is from RNAcentral.